Molecule: ribosomal RNA, 829 nt
Filed under: Streptomyces sp. LCK-2009.41
Lineage: Bacteria; Bacillati; Actinomycetota; Actinomycetes; Kitasatosporales; Streptomycetaceae
Description: bacterial SSU rRNA
Rfam family: Bacterial small subunit ribosomal RNA
Source: RNAcentral
AGUCGAACGAUGAAGCCCUUCGGGGUGGAUUAGUGGCGAACGGGUGAGUAACACGUGGGCAAUCUGCCCUUCACUCUGGGACAAGCCCUGGAAACGGGGUCUAAUACCGGAUAACACUCCUGCCUGCAUGGGUGGGGGUUAAAAGCUCCGGCGGUGAAGGAUGAGCCCGCGGCCUAUCAGCUUGUUGGUGGGGUAAUGGCCUACCAAGGCGACGACGGGUAGCCGGCCUGAGAGGGCGACCGGCCACACUGGGACUGAGACACGGCCCAGACUCCUACGGGAGGCAGCAGUGGGGAAUAUUGCACAAUGGGCGAAAGCCUGAUGCAGCGACGCCGCGUGAGGGAUGACGGCCUUCGGGUUGUAAACCUCUUUCAGCAGGGAAGAAGCGAAAGUGACGGUACCUGCAGAAGAAGCGCCGGCUAACUACGUGCCAGCAGCCGCGGUAAUACGUAGGGCGCAAGCGUUGUCCGGAAUUAUUGGGCGUAAAGAGCUCGUAGGCGGCUUGUCGCGUCGGAUGUGAAAGCCCGGGGCUUAACCCCGGGUCUGCAUUCGAUACGGGCAGGCUAGAGUGUGGUAGGGGAGAUCGGAAUUCCUGGUGUAGCGGUGAAAUGCGCAGAUAUCAGGAGGAACACCGGUGGCGAAGGCGGAUCUCUGGGCCAUUACUGACGCUGAGGAGCGAAAGCGUGGGGAGCGAACAGGAUUAGAUACCCUGGUAGUCCACGCCGUAAACGUUGGGAACUAGGUGUUGGCGACAUUCCACGUCGUCGGUGCCGCAGCUAACGCAUUAAGUUCCCCGCCUGGGGAGUACGGCCGCAAGGCUAAAACUCAG